AGACCGGUCUACUGGUCGUACUUUUGUACGUACUGGUUUUAUUGGUUUCUCCUUUCUGACGAACUAUAAUGCCAUUAAUUUGGUGUUAUGGGGAAUCAGGACUGUUACUUUGAAAAAAUUAGAGUGUUUAAAGCAGGCUCACGCUUGAAUACAUUAGCAUGGAAUAACGGAAUAGGACGUUUGAUUCUAUUUUGUUGGUUUCUAGGAUCGACGUAAUGAUUAAUAGGGAUAGUUGGGC
Molecule: ribosomal RNA, 238 nt
Filed under: uncultured Glomeromycotina
Lineage: Eukaryota; Fungi; Glomeromycota
Description: partial 18S ribosomal RNA
Rfam family: Eukaryotic small subunit ribosomal RNA (bases 46-238)
Source: RNAcentral